CAAGACUGAAGACGUGUAUUUGUUUAUGUAUUUGUUUUUGUUUCAACAUUGGUUUUUCUUGGCGGGUUUUUUAAGUGUUUAUUUUCAAAUCGAAAAAUGGACAAAAUAAACGAAAUGAAUUCCAAGGAUGAGAAAAAAAGUCGUCAACGGGGAGAAAAUUGGACGCAAGAAGAAAAGGACCUGCUCCUUAAAAUAAUGCGAAAAUCGGUGCCUAUAAUUGAGAAUAAACAUACAGAUACAAAUACUAACAAACGAAAGUAUUUGGAAUGGGUAAAAAUACGAAAUAGAUUGAGAGAACUCACGGGUAAAUACAGAGACAUAGCUCAAUUAAAGGGUUUUUGGAGGAGACUGAAAAUAACAGCGAAGAAAAAUGUCUCUGAACAUAAAACGGAUGUGAAAAUAACUGCUGGAGGUCAUCAUUCACCUUCUCCAUCUGAAGAUGAUAGAUUAAUUGUGGAACUCUGCCCAACAGAUUUUUUAAUUGACUUAAAUCAGUCCAAAAGUGAUAAAAAUGUUGUAAAUGAAAAAAAUAAUGAACCGGGUAUAGAAAAUAAAGAUAAUAAUACAACACAAGACAUUGAAUCAAAUGAGGUUCAUAAAGACACACAAAGUAUUAGAGAUACUGAAAACAUAAUUAUGGAAGAGUCUAGUCUUAAACUAAGACAUAAGUCAAAACAGUUACCUGGAAUCAAAAGGAAGAAAAAAAACAGCCACAUGGGGAUGAUAGUUGCGAGUAACAUUGAUCUUAAAACUCGCAGUAGAGAGAUGAUGGAAGAGGAACAUGCUUUGAAAAUAAAAUACAGGAUGUUAGAAUUAAGUCACCAGGAGUCAAAACAUAAAUUGGAAAUAGAUAAUUUACUUCUAGAAAAAGAAAAGAAGGAAUUAGAAAUAAAAAUUCUUAAAAAAUCAUUACAAUAGUAGUAGUCAUGUAAUUAGGUUCAUAAGCAGAUGAAAUUUUUAAUCUAAUAUAUAAAAUUCUCGUGUCACAGUGUGCAGGACCAAACUUCUCCGAAACGGCUUGACCGAUUCUCAUGAAAUUUUGAGUGCAUAUUGGGUAGGUCUGAGAAUCGGACAACAUCUAUUUUUCAUCCCCCUAAAUGUUAAGAUUGGUCCACACGAAUUUUUUUUUUUAAUUUUUUGACAUUUUUUUUUUUAAAUUUGUUUGUUUAUGAGUCGGCAUUAAAAAAUACAUACAACUUCAAAUUUUCACCCAUCUACGAUAAACAGUUACUUUUGUAUCGCGAUUUUAAUAUCGGCAAUACAACGUUUGCUGGGUCAGCUAGACUAUAAUUAUGUACUAGUAAGGACUGAAAGGACUGGACAGUCUCCCUGAAAACGAAACUUGGAAAGGUCUUGAAAUGUUGGGUUAACUAACAUAAUAAUAAAAAUGUAACUUUUACACAAAAAUCUAAUGUAAAAACACAGUUACAAUUACACUCUUUUUAAUACUUUAAAA
Molecule: long non-coding RNA, 1456 nt
Organism: Leptidea sinapis
Lineage: Eukaryota; Metazoa; Arthropoda; Insecta; Lepidoptera; Pieridae
Exons: 6
Source: RefSeq, a predicted model, not a curated record